RNAcentral lists this ribosomal RNA (253 nucleotides) under uncultured bacterium. RNAcentral's name for it is "partial 16S ribosomal RNA". It matches the Rfam family "Bacterial small subunit ribosomal RNA", at positions 524 to 776 of the family's 1533-position model. The record is from RNAcentral.
UACGAAGGGGGCUAGCGUUGCUCGGAAUCACUGGGCGUAAAGGGUGCGUAGGCGGGUUUUUAAGUCAGGGGUGAAAUCCUGGAGCUCAACUCCAGAACUGCCUUUGAUACUGAAGAUCUUGAGUCCGGGAGAGGUGAGUGGAACUGCGAGUGUAGAGGUGAAAUUCGUAGAUAUUCGCAAGAACACCAGUGGCGAAGGCGGCUCACUGGCCCGGUACUGACGCUGAGGCACGAAAGCGUGGGGAGCAAACAGA